CUCAAACCUAUCAAAGCCAUUCAUUAGUAGUGGUGGGGAGGAGGAGGUGAAGUGUAUAAGUAAUGAUGAGGUGGCGGUGGUGGCGGUGGGGAUUUGUAUUUGUAAGGGUGAUGUGGUGGUGGGUAGUGCGGUGGUGGUGGUGGUGGUGGGGAUUUGUAUUUGUAAGGGUGAUGCGGCGGUGGGUAGUGCACUGGUGGUGGUGGUGGUGGUGGUGAUGGUGGUGGUGGCGGUGGCGGUGGGGAUUUGUAUUUGUAAGGGUGAUGUGGUGGUGGGUAGUGCGGUGGUGGGUAGUGCACUGGUGGUGGUGGUGGUGGCGGUGGGGAUUUGUAUUUGUAAGGGUGAUGUGGUGGUGGGUAGUGCACUGGUGGUGGUGGUGUUUGUGGUGGUUGCUGUGGUUUUUUGUAUUUGUAAUUUAUUCGUGGUGGGUUGGUGAUUUGCGGUGGUGUGGUAGUUCACUUGUGGUGGUGCGGCGGCGGCGGGGACUUGUAUUUGUAAGGGUGAUGUGGUGGUGAGUAGUGCACGGGAGGCGGUGGUGGCGGGGGCGUGGACUUGUACUUGUAAGGUGUGCGUGGUGAGUAGUGCAUGGGUUGGCGGCGGCGGGGACCUUGUAUUUGUAAGGGUGAUGUGGUGUUAGUAGUGCACGGGUGGUGGCGGCGGCGCCGGCGGGGACUUGUAUUUGUAAGGGUGAUGUGUGGUUGAGUAGUGGCACGGGUGUGCGGUGGCGGCGGGGAUUUUGUAUUUGUAAGGUGAUGCGGUGGUGAGUAGUGCACGGGUGGUGGUGGUGGUGGUGGGGACUUAUAUUUGUAAGGGUGAUGCGGUGGUGAGUAGUGCACGGGUGGAGGCGGCGGCGGUGGGGACUUAUAUUUGUAAGGGUGAUGCGGUGGUAAGUAGUGCACUGGUGGCGGUGGUGGCGGUGAUUUGUAGUGAUAAGGAGGAGGUGGUGGUGGCGACUUGGGAGGUGGUGGAGGAGAUUUGUAGUAAUAAUUAGCAGUGGUUUCCAAUGGCAAAGUGAGAGACACUAUUGCCACUAGGAGAGUGGUGAUGAGAGAGGCCAUUUUAGGCCUCAUUCCUUUCGUUCCCAUCUUCACCACAAAAUCGAUUUUUGGUUAUGCUCUUAACCCUCCCUCUCCA
RNAcentral lists this long non-coding RNA (1131 nucleotides) under Actinidia chinensis (golden kiwifruit). RNAcentral describes it as "long non-coding RNA (ACHI_LNC006971)". The record is from RNAcentral. Lineage: Eukaryota; Viridiplantae; Streptophyta; Magnoliopsida; Ericales; Actinidiaceae.